RNAcentral lists this long non-coding RNA (1174 nucleotides) under Homo sapiens (human). RNAcentral describes it as "HSALNT0300764". The record is from RNAcentral. Lineage: Eukaryota; Metazoa; Chordata; Mammalia; Primates; Hominidae.
UGUAUGGAGCAUCUGGAAAGCAUCUGUGGAAGAAUUACAGCAAAAACUUCUACAAUUCAAGGUUAUCAUUUCUGUCUAGAUAAGAAGUUUCUCUAUCAGGACUAGCUAACUGACUUUUGAUCAAGACAACAGCCUGAUUUCUCAUCUGGACUCCUGGCAGAGCAGCCGCAAACUGUAGGCUGUGUCCACAGAAGUUGAAAACAUCCUGACAGGUAGGUAAAUAUUUCCUCUUGAAAUAAAAUUGACCAGCCAAGGAAGGAGAUAAUUUGUUAUUGUGGAUGGUUGGUGAGCUGUAGAAAUUAAUUCUCAGGGUUUGAUUUUAGUAUAUCAGGUCUCAGGACACUGAAGUUUCCCCUUGGCAGACAGCCUCUUGGCCACUGGCUUAUAUUGAGCUCAGCCUUCUAAGGGACACACUGAGGAAAUCAAAAUCUAGUAGAAAAAACAAAUGCUAAUUUCAAGUGCUAUAAAGUGGCCUGUAUUUAGUAUCAAAUAAAUGCAUUAGGGACCCAGAAAAGGAAAGUUAGCAUGGGCUGGGAUAAUUAGGGAAAGCUUCACAAAGGAGGUGGAGAAUGACCUGGGCUUUGAUGUAUACAAGUAGACUUCAUAUAGACCAAAAAAAGAGGGUGUGCAUUAAUGACAGCACCAUAGGUGUGGAAAUGCCCAUGACACAUCUGAGAGAUAAUAAACACUCACCUGGUUCAGAGUUCACCAGAGCUCCCUAACAUUUCUAUGCAUAGUCUAGCUUAUCCUCCCCACUCACAUUCACAUGGAACCCCACUGCUACUGUACCUUUCCCCACAGUGAUUUUAUUAUUUGUCUCAUAUAAAAGGAAUAUUUUUUCAAAUAUAUUGAAAUUUGGAAGAAAACAAUUUGAUAGCCUCACCCAAGUGCUUUGGAUAUUUUCUAGAGGCAUGUUCUUCAAGGUGUAGGGAGCCUCUUAAGACUUCCGUUCCUCAAAUCACAGAACUGAAAACUUUACCUCUUGGGUGGCUUAAGAAUGGUGAAUAAAAUAUAGCUCCCAUCUUGAAACAAAGCAUGUCACUGUGCAAACAAGGAACAUUUAAAAAUACACAGAAAAUGCAGGCUGAUAAAAUAAAUAAUCUGGCAGUGUGAAAUUUGAUGGGGGAAAGUAGAAGAUGUCAUAGAGAAAAGAUUUUCUUUUGUUUUGUUUUUC